This is a long non-coding RNA of Oncorhynchus tshawytscha (Chinook salmon), 1091 nucleotides long. NCBI's taxonomy places the organism in Eukaryota, Metazoa, Chordata, Actinopteri, Salmoniformes, Salmonidae. The record is from Ensembl.
GCCACAGUUGAUAUUGUGUGCAUUCCAAAUGGCAUCCUAUUCCCUAUGUAAUGCACUCAUUUUGGUUAGGGUUCAUAGGGCUCACAGGGCUCAGGUCAGGACUCAUAGGGCUAAUAGGGCUCAGGUCAGGGCUCAUAGGGCUAAUAGGGCUCAGGUCAGGGCUCAUAGGGCUAAUAGGGCUCAGGUCAGGGCUCAUAGGGCUCAUAGGGCUAAUAGGGCUCAGGUCAGGGCUCAUAGGGCUCAGGUCAGGGCUCAUAGGGCUAAUAGGGCUCAGGUCAGGGCUCAUAGGGCUCAGGUCAGGGCUCAUAGAGCUAAUAGGGCUCAGGUCAGGACUCAUAGGGCUCAGGUCAGGGCUCAUAGGGCUCAGGUCAGGGCUCAGGUCAGGGCUAAUAGGGCUCAGGUCAGGACUCAUAGGGCUCAGGUCAGGGCUCAUAGGGCUCAGGUGAGGGCUAAUAGGGCUCAGGUCAGGACUCAUAGGGCUCAGGUCAGGGCUCAUAGGGCUAAUAGGGCUCAUAGGGCUAAUAGGGCUCAGGUCUGGGCUAAUCGGGCUCAGGUCAGGGCUAAUAGGGCUCAGGUCAGGGGUCAUAGGGCUCAGGUCAGGGGUCAUAGGGCUCAGGUCAGGGCUCAGGUCAAAAGUAGUUACAUUUAUAGGGAAUGCACACAAUUUCUUUAAUGAGCAUGAAUGACCAUAAAUAUCAGAAUGAAUAGUAGAAAGCAUUUUUAUUGAGUAAGAAAUUGAACCAACUAUGCAUUUCACAGUCUAUCUUACUUGGCAAUCGGUUAUAAUUAUCCUAUUAUAAAAUGUGCUCUUCUUAUUAACCCAUGUACACUAUACAUACAAUACACCCAGCGUGUCAACAGACCCAUCUCAACAAGCCUCCACAAUACGCUCCAGUCUACAGUGUUGUCUUCAGGCUUAAACAAUACACUCCAGUCUACAGUGUUGUGAUGCUGUCUUCAGGCUUAAACAAUACGCUCCAGUCUACAGUGUUGUCUUCAGGCUUAAACAACACACUCCAGUCUACAGUGUUGUCUUCAGGCUAAAACAACACACUCCAGUCUACAGUGUUGUCUUCAGGCUAAAACAACAC